UACGGGGGGGGUAAGCGUUGUUCAGAAUUACUGGGCGUAAAGGGCUCGUAGGCGGCCAACUAAGUCAUACGUGAAAUCCCUCAGCUUAACUGGGGAACUGCGUGUGAUACUGGAUGGCUUGGAUUUGGGAGAGGGAUGCGGAAUUCCAGGUGUAGCGGUGAAAUGCGUAGAUAUCUGGAGGAACACCGGUGGCGAAGGCGGCAUCCUGGACCAAUAUUGACGCUGAGGAGCGAAAGCCAGGGGAGCAAACGGG
Molecule: ribosomal RNA, 253 nt
Filed under: uncultured bacterium
Lineage: Bacteria
Description: partial 16S ribosomal RNA
Rfam family: Bacterial small subunit ribosomal RNA
Source: RNAcentral